Molecule: ribosomal RNA, 422 nt
Filed under: uncultured Alistipes sp.
Lineage: Bacteria; Pseudomonadati; Bacteroidota; Bacteroidia; Bacteroidales; Rikenellaceae
Description: partial 16S ribosomal RNA
Rfam family: Bacterial small subunit ribosomal RNA
Source: RNAcentral
UGAGGAAUAUUGGUCAAUGGACGCAAGUCUGAACCAGCCAUGCCGCGUGCAGGAUGACGGCUCUAUGAGUUGUAAACUGCUUUUGUACAAGGGUAAACUCAGGUACGUGUACCUGACUGAAAGUAUUGUACGAAUAAGGAUCGGCUAACUCCGUGCCAGCAGCCGCGGUAAUACGGAGGAUCCAAGCGUUAUCCGGAUUUAUUGGGUUUAAAGGGUGCGUAGGCGGUUUAGUAAGUUAGAGGUGAAAUUCUCGGGCUCAACCCGAGCACUGCCUCUAAAACUGUUAGACUAGAGAGUAGUUGCUGAUGGCGGAAUGUGUGGUGUAGCGGUGAAAUGCUUAGAUAUCACACAGAACACCGAUUGCGAAGGCAGCUGACAAAGCUAUAUCUGACGCUGAGGCACGAAAGCGUGGGGAGCAAACA